This 362-nucleotide unclassified non-coding RNA is filed under the name Hevea brasiliensis (rubber tree). The stretch from base 141 to 222 matches the Rfam family "Small nucleolar RNA U54". The record is from RNAcentral. Lineage: Eukaryota; Viridiplantae; Streptophyta; Magnoliopsida; Malpighiales; Euphorbiaceae.
GCAAUCUUAAUUGGUCCGUGUUUCUGAUUUAACCGUGACUGAUACCCAUUAAGCACACUCUGAUCUCUUAAUUUUCUUUUUCUAAAAUUUAUUUUCCAGGUUUCGGAUUUUUUUGGUUUCAUUUCUAAGGAAAUCUAAUGAGCUCUGUGAUUAUAUGCCCGAUUUGGGCUAUAUACGCUAUUCUGAUUCAUAACAUGAGCAGAAAUCUGAGAAAUGAGAGCUAUUUCUACUGCAUUUUCAGUUUUGUUUCGUUUUUCUUUAUGUACUGUUUACUAAUUUUAAUAUUGAAUAAUUGAAAUGUAUAUACAAGCUUCUGCAGUGAUGAAUUUAUGAAACAAUUCACAUGUCAGACUUCAGAGAUU